Chlorocebus sabaeus (green monkey) is the source of this 1088-nucleotide long non-coding RNA. RefSeq lists it as uncharacterized. The record is from RefSeq and is a predicted model, not a curated record. NCBI's taxonomy places the organism in Eukaryota, Metazoa, Chordata, Mammalia, Primates, Cercopithecidae.
UUGAACUGCUCAGGGGGGUCUUGUCCAGUUCUUCCUCAUGGACCCUGUGCUGAGAGAUGCUGAGGGGAGUGCCUGGGGAAAGAGUCAGGAGGUGGAUUUGAAGGUGAAGUCGAACCCACCACUGACCCUGGGUGGCUGUCCCCAGGCACUUCCUCCCAUUGUCACCAUCCAUCCUCCUUUGACUCGGUGACAUGGGGGACCUCCGAGCCCCAUAUUCAGGUUUUGUUCUUCAUCAGCGGAUGGAGACGGCCCCUUCGGCUGCCUUGGAUCAUCCACGGCCCCUCUUCUGCUUCCAGGACCGCUGGCCAGCUCUCAAUGUGUGGUCCACUCUGAGCGCAAGUCCUCCUGUGUGGAUGUCCAGCACUCUGAGCGCAGGUCCUCCUGGGUGGAUGUCCAGCACUCUGCACAGUGAACCAUCACAGCAGGUCACACGGAUGCUGCUACCCAGGCCCACUGUCAGCCUGGCUGCUUCUGUCAGCCCAUUAGCCAGAGUCUCCAUUGGGUACCACCACUGCCACCACCAACACGAAUUCACAGGGACUGCCACCACCCCUACCUGAAUGUCAGCACCCACCCUGCCCCAGCCUCCUGUGGCCCUCAACGGCAGUCACCACCGUCACAACACAGGUCACCAGGAGUCCUGUCCACAGCCUGAAGAACCCAGGGUGGGCCCAGCACCAGGAGGCUGGAAUUGAUGGUCCCUGCUGGGGACCACCCCCAGCUGGACACCGGGCCCUAGAACCUCCUCACGAAGCCCAGAGGGAGUGUGACCUGUGGCAUCUUCUCAGUGUUCUCCAUAGCCACAAAAUGAUCCCUGGCCACAGCCAGACACUCAGCUGUGACCCUGCCCCCGACAUUGGAAUCACUGACCACUGAUCUUGGCCACACACUGAACCCUGAUCCUGGUCACACACUGAGCUCUGGCCACACACUGAACCCUGAUCCUGGUCACACACUGAGCUCUGGCCACACGCUGAACCCUGAUCCUGGUCGUACACUGAGCUCUGGCCACACACUGAGCUUGGUCACACACCGAACCCUGAUCCUGGUCGUACGCUGAGCUCUGGCCACACGCUGAACCCUGAUCC